Molecule: ribosomal RNA, 460 nt
Filed under: uncultured soil bacterium
Lineage: Bacteria
Description: bacterial SSU rRNA
Rfam family: Bacterial small subunit ribosomal RNA
Source: RNAcentral
UCGGACGGGAUUGGAGAGCUUGCUUUCCAUGAGAGUGGCGCACGGGUGCGUAACACGUAUGUAACCUACCUUGUUCAGGGGGAUAGCCUCUCGAAAGAGAGAUUAAGACCGCAUAACAUCAUUGACUGGCAUCUGUUAAUGAUCAAAUAUUUAUAGGAACAAGAUGGGCAUGCGGAACAUUAGCUAGUUGGUAAGGUAAAGGCUUACCAAGGCUACGAUGUUUAGGGGAUCUGAGAGGAUGACCCCCCACACUGGUACUGAGACACGGACCAGACUCCUACGGGAGGCAGCAGUAAGGAAUAUUGGUCAAUGGGCGAAAGCCUGAACCAGCCAUGCCGCGUGCAGGAAGACGGCCCUACGGGUUGUAAACUGCUUUUGUACCGGAAUAAACCUUUCUUCGUGAAGGAAGCUGAAUGUACGGUAAGAAUAAGGAUCGGCUAACUCCGUGCCAGCAGCCGCG